AGGCUUUUCAUCGGUGGAGUGGAAGAACAAUAGCAGAGAGAGCUGCCCCCAGUGGAAGGGGAGCUAUCGGAAGCCUUGGAUGCCCAGGAGCUGAGGAGGGAACCAUGCUGUGAUGCCAGUUUUAACCACCUGCCAAGUCUGAAAGUGCUAAUUGAGAAGAGAGGAGGUUAUCAGGGGAAUCAAAGAAAUCUGGCCUGCAGUCCCCGGUGCCAGGGAAGACAUCUAAUGAUCUGUGGUCUUCUCCACAUGGUUGACUCCAAGGGGAAGAAACCUGAAGCAAAGGACGUAUUACAAAGAUUUUGGAGAAUGCAUGGAAUAAAGGAAGGACUGAACAAUUAAGCUAUGGGAAGAACUGAAACACAGAAGUUCCAAGACCUCCAGAAGCUGGGGAAUGGAAACAUGCUUUCUAUAGCAUUGCCUAGCGUCGUGCAACUCUGACACUCUCUGUUUCUAUGUAUCUCAAUUCAGGUUUUCCAAUUAUUAGAAGAAUUAAUCUAACUGAACAAACUUGGGUCAGAUAUCUGUAUUUUGAGAGCAUAUAGCUAUGUCCAGGGGACAGAGUAGAAUACAUAGGCUUAUCCUUGGGGUAACUACAUGGAGCUGAGCAACCAUCGCAGUUUGUGUCUCCUACAUUCCACCUGUUGAUUGUGGUGGUUGUGUACACACACACGAACGUACACACAGACCCACACACACACUCUCUCUCUCUCUUCUUUCUCUCUCACUUCUCUAUACUCAAUAUAUAUAUUUUUCUCCAUCUAUCCACAAAUGCCUCAAUUCAACUAAAAGUAAUUAAUCCAUACAUAAUAACUAACACUCUUGUCUUCUUCUAAAAUGGGAAAUGACCUAAAUUCAUGCCCAGCUAUUAAACAAGGUACGAUGUCAUGAUACCACAUUUUUUUUUGAAAUCAGGCUCCCUGGGUGAUAUCCAUUUGUAUUAUAUAUGUGUAAUAAUUUCAUCUGGGCAUUCUGCAACUACACAGCCUGUGAAGGGGAGAAAGGUUAGGGAAUCAAUACUAAUAUAAAUAUUGACCUAGUAUAGGUUUAGUAUGCAAAGAAAUGCAAGUGCAGAUUUUUUUAUUUGCUGCUGAAACUGGUCAUGAGGUUUAUUGUAGUCCAUUCAGGUUGCUACAACAAAAUGCCAUAAACUCGAUAGCUUAUAAACAGUAGAAAUUUAUUUCUCAUGGUUCUGGAGACUGGGAAGUACAAGCUCAUGGUGCCAUCAGAUUCGGUGUCUGGACAGGAUCUGCUUUCUGGUUCAUAGAUAGUACCUUCUCACUGUCCUCAUGUGGUGGAAGGAACAA
Molecule: long non-coding RNA, 1304 nt
Filed under: Homo sapiens (human)
Lineage: Eukaryota; Metazoa; Chordata; Mammalia; Primates; Hominidae
Description: HSALNT0383080
Source: RNAcentral